This 3720-nucleotide long non-coding RNA is filed under the name Lactuca sativa (garden lettuce). Its description in RNAcentral is "long non-coding RNA (LSAT_LNC008056)". The record is from RNAcentral. Lineage: Eukaryota; Viridiplantae; Streptophyta; Magnoliopsida; Asterales; Asteraceae.
AACUAGAAACUUCCCAGAUAAGGGCUUAAUCCAUUUUAUUAAGCCAGUAUACACUUAAAGACUUUAGGUGAAUAACUCUAUAACACCUUAGUUUAUACACCAUGUUUAUAUAUAAAACUAAUACCCAAUAGAUAGUUAAAUGUGUGUUUUCCGCCUUACUUCCUGUCCUCGUUGGGUUGUGGACUUAGGGCAGAUUCACCCAAUUAACUUUCUACCCGAUAUCAGAUUAUAUAUAGCAGUAUAAACAAAGCUAUUAUAAAAGUAGUCACUGUAGUCAAUAUUUUACUAUAAGAAAUAUAGGUUUUCUUAAAAGAACUUUUCGUUAGACAUAAAGGAACCAUUACAAAUAAUUCCAUGAGUAAAAAUUGAUUACACCAGGGUUAUAUAUGACAACGAUCUAAUAACCAAUGAAAUGUGUGCUAUCCUCCUUACUUUUUGUUCCCCGUUGGGUUGUGAGCUUAGGGAAGAUGCGCACAAUCGAUUGUUUAUUUACUCUGAGUAUAUAUAACUUGUACCCACUUAGUACGCAUAGAAAGGCUUGUAGUGUCAUUUUACAUAACUUUCAUUCAAGUAGGAAAUAUAGGAUUUUCUAGAGGAACAGGCGAACUUUUCAAAACAGAACUUACAGCUUACAUCACUUGUGUGUACAUUGUCAACCAAUUUUUACAGCUUACUCACAUCACUAAAAUCUUAUGAACUCACCAGCUUAAUUGCUGAUCAACUCUUUCAAAUAACUUGUAUUCUCAGGAGACUAUUAGACAGGUGCUCGUGCUGGGACUUCAGAAGAUGGAGCAUUAUAGCUUCAAGUCUUGUUUUGUUAUUUGUUUAUGACUUCUAUGUUUUGUGAACACACACAUUGUAAAUACUUUCUUUCUAAAUGAAAUGGUUGUUCAUUACUUGCUUACCAUAUACAUAUCUCAUGAUAUUAAACAUGACGUCCUCCACCCCCGAACGUUUCCGUCGUUCCGGUUUUGGGGUGUGACAAGUAGGGUAGUUCUCCUCAUGAGGCUUCAGAUGCCUCGAGGCGUACACGAUCACAUGCCCCCUCUACAUAAAAAAAACGCCCAACUCUAUGAUAGAUGCAUCACAAUACACCACCAGAUCAUUCAAUCCAUUGGGUAGUGCCAAAAUCGGGGCCUCACAUAACCUCUGCAUCAAGGCCUCGAAAGCCAACUGCUGUUCCGGGCCCCACCGAAAUGUCAUAUUCUUCUUGGUCAACCGGGUCAAAGGCACCGCAAUCUUGGAGAAGUUAUGUAUGAAUCUCCGAUAGUACCCCGCUAGACCCAAGAAGCUACGAAUCUCAGAUACAUUCCUCGGCACUUCCCACCGCAUCACUGCCUCAAUCUUGGCUGAAUCAACCAAAAUACCUCUUAGCUGAUGAUGUGCCCCAAAAAAUGCACCUCCCGUAACCAGAAAUCACACUUCAAGAACUUGGCAUAAAGCCUUUUCGUCCUUAGUGUCUCCAAUACCUCCCUCAGAUGUUGCUCGUUUUGCUCCUUUGUAUUAGAAUAGACCAAGAUAUCAUCAAUAAAAAUGAUCACCGACCGAUCCAACAUCGGCCUACACACCUUGUUCAUGAGAUCCAUGAACGCUAUUGGGGCAUUGGUGAGCCUGGAUGGCAUCACCACAAACUCGUAGUACCCGUACCGGGUCCUGAAAGCUAUCUUCAGUAUAUCCUCUUCUUGAAUCCUCAUCUGAUGGUAUCCCGACUGAAGAUCAAUCUUGGAAAACCAAGAUGCACUCUGUAGCUGAUCAAACAAAUCAUCGAUCCUCAGGAGCGGAUUUUUCACCGUUAAUUUUUUUAGCUCCCGAUAAUCAANNNNNNNNNNNNNNNNNNNNNNNNNNNNNNNNNNNNNNNNNNNNNNNNNNNNNNNNNNNNNNNNNNNNNNNNNNNNNNNNNNNNNNNNNNNNNNNNNNNNCAAACACCACUGCCCCCAAUUCCAGGUCAUGAGUGGUGUGACAACCCGAAAUUUUUUAUUUUAUAAGCUCAUUCAUUCAACUCAAAUGAGUGUCAAAAUCAUUAGUACAAAGUUCUGGCAUGGUUACAGGUCAUUCUAAGGAGUUUUGAGUCUAAAACACUUAAGGAUUAAGUGUUAGAAAGUACCCGCUAGAACCACAGUGUAGUAAAUCGGACCCUAACCCCAUCUAAAUGAGUUCACGGCCACAAGACCAUGAGUUUACGGCCGUAAACUCAUGUGGCCGUAAACUCAAGUAUAUAUAUAGAGCGUUGGGUCAUUUCCUCUCAUUUCUUCCUUUCUUGGCCGGAUUUUCUCCCAAAUCCUCUCAACUAUCAUCCAACCUCCUUCCUUAGAUCUUCAAAAGAGUGAGUAUUCUAUCCCUUGAUUAGUUAAUACAUCUUAUUAACUAGCUUCUUACAAUGAUUUCAUCCAUGAAAAAUCAUGUUUGUUUAGAUACUCAAGAAACACCAAGAACACACACUAGUGUUCUUGGCCAAAUCGACUAGUUCAAGCUCCUAUAUCGUAAGCACUCUUAUUCCAACUUGUUUUACACUAGAUUAAACAUGUCUAGACCUUAGAAACAUCAAGAAACAAAGGUUAGAAGAGAGUUUACGGCCAAGGAUGUUCUUGGGCCGUAAACUCCCUUUUAGGGUGCAAAGAUGCCCCAAAUUCCUUCCUUAAGCCUAGAGACUAGCCUACCUCUUUACCUUGAUGUGUUUAGUACUCAAAAAAUCAAAAUACCAUCACCCAUAGGUGAUUACGGCCGCAAACACGUGUCAAAGUGGUCCAUGGGCCGAAAACUCAAUUUAAGGGUGUAUUGGUGCCACAAACACUUCCUAAGGCUUUGACUUGAAGUUAGGAUGCUUCACUAUGACUUUUAGGACCCUAAACAACUCUCAUAAACAUAAAUGGUCAUGAGUUUACGGUUGUAAACUCAUUAGGGACGUGAACACCCCAAAAGCUGCAAAGAAAGUGGUCUUCCUCAUCCUAGGGUAGAGCUAAGGUCCCCAAAACAUCUAUAGCCUUCAAGCUUGCAUUUAUACGUGAGUAACCAUGAGUUUACGACCGUAAAAUCCCUCGAGGCAUCUGAAGCCUCCAAUAGCUAAUAGGAUGUGUGCUCUUCUCUUCAUUUCCUAUUCUCGUUGGAUUGUGGGCUUGGAACGAGUUUACCCAAUCUACUAUCUACCCGAAUCUAUAUAUAUAUAUAUAUAUAUAUGCUUAGUAUACAUUAAGUCAUCAUAAGGGUACCAGGUAUGGAACAGGUCAUAGGACACAGAGUCAAUGUACAGUUUUUCUAGUACAAAACUUACUUUUCAAAGUCAGUACUUUUGGUAUACAAAACUAGAGAUUUCCCAGAUAAGGGCUUAAUCCAUUUUAUUAAGCCAGUACAGUUUUAGAGACUUUAGGUGAGUAACUCUAUAACACCUUAGUUUAUACACCAUGUUUAUAUAUAAAACUAAUACCCAAUAGAUAGUUAAAUGUGUGUUUUCCACCUUACUUCCUGUCCUCGUUGGGUUGUGGACUUAGGGCAGAUUCACCCAAUUAACUUUCUACCCGAUAUCAGAUUAUAUAUAGCAGUAUAAACAAAGCUAUUAUAAAAGUAGUCACUGUAGUCAAUGUUUUACUAUAAGAAAUAUAGGUUUUCUUAAAAGAACUUUUCGUUAGACAUAAAGGAGCCAUUACAAAUAAUUCCAUGAGUAAAAAGUGAUUACACCAGGGUUAUAUAUGACAACGAUCUAAUAACCAAUGAAAUGUGUGCUAU